This 875-nucleotide ribosomal RNA is filed under the name uncultured candidate division SR1 bacterium. RNAcentral describes it as "bacterial SSU rRNA". It matches the Rfam family "Bacterial small subunit ribosomal RNA", at positions 28 to 903 of the family's 1533-position model. The record is from RNAcentral. Lineage: Bacteria; Candidatus Absconditibacteriota.
GAUGAACGCUAGCGGAACGCCUAACACAUGCAAGUCGAACGGUCGCCUCGGCGACAGUGGCAAACGAGCGAGUAACGCGUACCUAAUCUGCCCUUGAGUUGGGAACAACUACGGAGACGUAGCUAAUUCCCAAUAUGCUCACGAUGGUGAAAUUCCGAUGUGAGGAAAGAUUUAUCGCUCAAGGAGGGGGGUGCGUCCUAUCAGGUUGUUGGUAGAGUAAUAGCCUACCAAGCCUAUGACGGGUAGCCGGUCUGAGAGGAUGUCCGGCCGCGAUGGGACUGAGAUACGGCCCAUACUCCUACGGGAGGCAGCAGUGGGGAAUUUUGCACAAUGGACGCAAGUCUGAUGCAGCGAUUCCGCGUGGAGGAUGAAGCAUUACGGUGUGUAAACUCCUUUUCUGGUGGAAGACGAAUGACGGUACACCAGGAAUAAGAGACGGCUAACUACGUGCCAGCAGCCGCGGUAAUACGUAGGUCUCAAGCGUUAUCCGGAUUUACUGGGCGUAAAGAGUCCGUAGCCCGAUAUGUAAGUCAGUUUUCAAAUACCCCGACUCAAUCGGGGAAAGGGAAUAGAUACUGCAUAUCUAGAGAGUAUUGGAGGUUAGUGGAAUUUCCGGUGGAGCGGUGAAAUGCGUUGAUAUCGGAAAGAACGCCGAAAGUGAAAGCAGCUAACUAUGAUCACUCUGACGGUGAGGGACGACAGCAUGGGGAGCAAACGGGAUUAGAUACCCCGGUAGUCCAUGCCGUAAAUUAUGUCUGCUAGGUGUUUCUCCGGUAAUUAUAUUUGUCUCGUAUAAAUGUAAUUACCGGAGGAGUGCCGUAAUCUAACGAGUUAAGCAGAUCGCCUGGGUAGUAUAUUCGCAAGAAUGAAACUCA